AGCGGCGUGAGUUGGUGGCUGCGGGACUUGACGGCAUGGCUCAUAUAUGUGCUUCCGACUAAUCCAGCUUCUUUUGGUCUAGCUGGGCAUUACUUUGAGUUCAUAUAUGUGCUUGUCACUCCAUAGGUUAUAGUGGUUCCCUCUGUUUCCAUAUAUGUUCUUGUAGUUUGGUUGCUUUCCUGUUCAUGCAUGUUUGUACAACUAUAUAUAGUUUUGCUGUGAAUCUGUCGUGCAUGUAUUGAAAUGCAGGAAAUGUUGAAUACAUGUUCACUCUCAGCUGGGAUAUUGAAUUGUACAUAGUUAUGUGAUUCAUGUCUGCUUCUUAUUUUAUUAAGUGAUUAUCUUUAUGUCCUUGCUACUAGUAGGAUGGUCAAUAGCUUGUUUUGUAGUUCUCUACUUUAUGCAAAUAGCUUCCUAUAGCAUUGUUCUACUAUCUGUGUGAUGCUGAACAAUAUGCUCUUAAUCUGUUGCUAUAUUCUCACCAAAUGCACAGUUUAUUUUCUUAGACCUACUGUUAAACAAAGUCUUAACUUGUAUCAUUUUUUCUUAACAAUAGGCAUAGAAUUCCUGACUCUUAUGUUAUAUGAUCAGCUUACUCCUGCUUCAACAACUGUACUAAUUCCUGACUGUUGUAUGUAAGGAGUAAAAUAGUUUAAUUGAGUGAUAUCCACUGGUUCACUAUCUUAGAGCACCUUUUUAGCAUUGUGGGCUGCUAAUAGUAUUUUAGACUUAUCAUAUCCUCUCUGGCGCGAUGGCAGGAGCGCAUGAUAGACUACUAAAUGGACAAGUAUCUGCAACGUUCAGCGUCAAAGAUGAUGCUUACCAGAUGUUCUACUGCAGCCCCAUCCAUAUCAUCGACAUGAAGUUAGGUAUCUACUCGUCCUAAAAUUGAUGGCCUGAAGCUCGAUGCAUGUAUAAUGUGACACACACAUCAGGAUAUCUGAAUAAUUUUUACAUGUUUGCUCUGUUAUCUAGUAGUAGGUUGAUACUUGUCAUUUGCCCUUUCCAAAUAUAUCUCAGUUUUGUUGUUAUGAGAAUGUUAUAUGCAUGGUUUCUUAUUA
This 1061-nucleotide long non-coding RNA is filed under the name Triticum aestivum (bread wheat). RNAcentral describes it as "long non-coding RNA (TAES_LNC019605)". The record is from RNAcentral. Lineage: Eukaryota; Viridiplantae; Streptophyta; Magnoliopsida; Poales; Poaceae.